AACCUCAAAUCAGGAAAGAGGACCCGCUGAAUUUAAGCAUAUAACUAAGCGGAGGAAAAGAAACUAACAAGGAUUCCCUCAGUAACGGCGAGUGAAGCGGGAAAAGCCCAUGAUGAAAAUCUUUCUUUGUUUGGGAGAGAGAAUUGUAGUCUAUCGAAGCAUGUACCAGUUGUGGGCCCAGGCUCGAGUCCCUUGGAAGAGGGCAUCCAGAGAGGGUGAGAGUCCCAUGUCUGGCUUGGUCGGCCACAGCGCACGGUCUGUUUUCCAUGAGUCGAGUUGCUUGGGACUGCAGCUCAAAGUUGGAGGUAAAUUCCUUCAAAGGCUAAACACUGGCGAGAGACCGAUAGCGAACAAGUAGCGCGAGCGAAAGAUGAAAAGAACUUUGAAAAGAGAGUUAAAAAGUACCUGAAAUCGUUGAAAGGGAAGGGUUUGCAACCAGUGUGAAUGAAGGGCGUGUGUUUGUCGCUUGCUAUGAGUAGGCGGUUUGCAGGCGCUCGGAUUGGGUCUGCAUGGGUUUGGUUGGUUGUUACAAGGUUUGUGCCGAGGAGCAAUCAAGGCACGGACUGAAGCGCUGGCCAGACCGAGGAGCAUUUUUUUUGAUGGAAAGGCGAUGCAGACAAAAUGGUUGUAAACCGCCCGUCUUGAAACACGGACCAAGGAGUUUCACAUGUGUGCGAGUAUUAGAGUGUUGAAAACUCUGAUGCGCAAUGAAAGUGAGGAGGUGGGAAUCUUUUUCCUUGGGAAAAGAGGCACCAUCGGCCGAUCAUGAUCUGCGGUGAAAGAUUUGAGUUGGAGCACUUAUGUGGAGACCCGAAAGAUGGUGAUCUAUGCUUGCGUAGAAUGAAGGCAGGGGAAACCCUGGUGGAAGUUCGCAAACGGUUCUGACGUGCAAAUCGAUCGUGAGACGUGGGUAUAGGGGCGAAAGACUCAUCGAACCAUCUAGUAGCUGGUUCCCUCCGAAAUUUCCCUUAGGAUAGCUAUAACUUGUACAGUUUCAUCAGGUAAAGCUAAUGAUUAGAGGCAUUGGGGACGAAAGGUCCUCGACCUAUUCUCAAACUUUAAAUGGGUGAGAACAUGUGGUUGCUUGAUUGAACUACGUGAUUGAAUGGAAAGUUGUUAGUGGGCCUCUUCUGGUAAGCAGAACUGGCGAUGCGGGAUGAUCCGAACGCGUGGUUAAAGUGCCAGAGUGUUCGCUCAUGAAGAUCCCACAAAAGGUGUUGGUUCAUUUAGACAGCAGGACGGUGGCCAUGGAAGUCGGAACCCGCUAAGGAGUGUGUAACAACUCACCUGCCGAAUGAACUAGCCCUGAAAAUGGAUGGCGCUUGAGCGAAUGACUUAUACCACGCCAUUGGUGCUAUUUUUCAAAAGAGUAAGUGCCAAUGAGUAGGAGGGCGUGCAAGUGAUGACGCAGCCUUUGGCGUGAGCCUGGGUGAAAUGGCUUGUAGUGCAGAUCUUGGUGGAAGUAGCAAGUAUUCAAAAGAGAACUUUGAAGACUGAAGUGGAGAAAGGUUCCAUGUGAACAGCAAUUGGACAUGGGUGAGUCGGUCCUAAGAGAUAGCUUGACUGUGUUCAGAAGGGGGUCGUUGUCUUUGCUUACUUGGUGAAGGUUAAUGGCUCGUUGAUCGAAAGGGAAUCAGGUUAAUAUUCCUGAACAAGGGAAGUGGAUGCAUGAUGUGGCAACACUUGGUCAGUUUGGGGACAUUAGCAGGAACCCCGGGAAGAGUUCUCUUUUCUUUUAAACUCUUUAGUGGUAUUGCCUGGAAUCAAAUUGGUUGGCGAGAGGGAAUACUUGCGAGUAAGAGCACUUUGGUUGGUUGAAGUGUCCGGUGCGUUUUUGAUGAUCCUUGAAAAUCCGAAUUGAUGAGUAAGGUAUAAACACCCCUUGCCGUACUGAUAACCGCAACAGGUCUCCAAGGUGAGAAGCCUCUAGUUGAUAGAACAAUGUAGAUAAGGGAAGUCGGCAAACUAGAUCCGUAACUUCGGGAAAAGGAUUGGCUCUGAGGGUUGGGUUGUCGAUAGGUGGUUUGUUUGUGGUUGGGGUGUUGGAGUUGGGGUUUGAUUUUCGCUGGUUCCGACUGGCUUAGAUCGGGCCUUGAUUCUGAUCGCCAUCCGGAUGAGCGACCUGACAGCGUGGAACAACCGACUCAGAACUGGAGCGGACAAGGGGAAUCCGACUGUUUAAUUAAAACAAAGCAUUGCGAUGCUCUUAACAGACGUUGACGCAAUGUGAUUUCUGCCCAGUGCUCUGAAUGUCAAAGUGAAGAAAUUCAAUCAAGCGCGGGUAAACGGCGGGAGUA
This 2297-nucleotide ribosomal RNA is filed under the name Thraustochytrium aureum. Its description in RNAcentral is "eukaryotic LSU rRNA". It matches the Rfam family "Eukaryotic large subunit ribosomal RNA", at positions 1 to 2261 of the family's 3401-position model. The record is from RNAcentral. Lineage: Eukaryota; Bigyra; Thraustochytrida; Thraustochytriidae.